GACUCUAAGCGGUGGAUCACACGGCUUAUGCGUCAAUGAAGAACGCAGCUAGCUGUGAGAACUAAUGUGAAUUGCAGGACACAUUGAUCAUCGACACUUAGAAUGCACUUUGCGGCCCUGGGUUAUUCCCAGGAUUAAGCCUGUCUGAGGGUCA
Ribosomal RNA from Protopterus annectens (West African lungfish), 154 nucleotides. RefSeq annotates it as 5.8S ribosomal RNA. The transcript has a single exon. The record is from RefSeq and is a predicted model, not a curated record. Lineage: Eukaryota; Metazoa; Chordata; Ceratodontiformes; Protopteridae.